GAUGAAGAACGUAGCGAAAUGCGAUAAGUAAUGUGAAUUGCAGAAUUCAUUGAAUCAUCGAAUCUUUGAACGCACAUUGCGCCCCUUGGUAUUCCGAGGGGCAUGCCUGUUCGAGCGUCAUUAUAACCCCUCAAGCUCAGCUUGGUGUUGGGGCCUGCUGCACUGGCAGCCCUUAAAAUCAGUGGCGGCGCCAUCUGGCUCUAAGCGUAGUAAUUCUUCUCGCUAUGGAGUCCUGGUGGAUGCUUGCCAUCAACCCCCAAUUUUUCUAUGGUUGACCUCGGAUCAGGUAGGGAUACCCGCUGAACUUAAGCAUAUCAAUAAGCGGAGGA
This 329-nucleotide unclassified non-coding RNA is filed under the name soil metagenome. Its description in RNAcentral is "partial contains 5.8S ribosomal RNA, internal transcribed spacer 2, and large subunit ribosomal RNA". The stretch from base 1 to 120 matches the Rfam family "5.8S ribosomal RNA", at positions 35 to 154 of the family's 154-position model. The record is from RNAcentral.